Molecule: unclassified non-coding RNA, 276 nt
Filed under: Hevea brasiliensis (rubber tree)
Lineage: Eukaryota; Viridiplantae; Streptophyta; Magnoliopsida; Malpighiales; Euphorbiaceae
Source: RNAcentral
GCGUCCAUCAUGAACGCUGCUAACAUGGUCUGUUUUUAUAAAAUCAUUAUUCCUCAUUGUUUUAGAGUUGAUAACAUAUUUGUUGUGAAAAUGAGAUAAGAACUUUAUAGUCAUUUAGUUUUUUCUAUACUAAAAAGUUGACAUAUGGUUUGUAAGAUGCCAUGUGUUAUGAGUAUGAUUCAAACGUAAUAGUUCUAGAUUUUGCAUGGUAGAAAGUCAAUAAAAUGUCAGAAGCAGGCUGUUUGUAAAAUAUCUUCAUUCUGCUCAUGAAUUAGG